This 250-nucleotide ribosomal RNA is filed under the name uncultured prokaryote. RNAcentral describes it as "partial 16S ribosomal RNA". It matches the Rfam family "Bacterial small subunit ribosomal RNA", at positions 524 to 774 of the family's 1533-position model. The record is from RNAcentral.
UACGUAGGGGGCAAGCGUUGUCCGGAAUUAUUGGGCGUAAAGCGCGAGCAGGCGGUUCAUUAAGUUUGGUGUUUAAGGCUGGGGCUCAACCCCGGUUCGCACUGAAAACUGGUGGACUUGAGUGCAGAAGAGGAAAGUGGAAUUCCACGUGUAGCGGUGAAAUGCGUAGAGAUGUGGAGGAACACCAGUGGCGAAGGCGACUUUCUGGGCUGUAACUGACGCUGAGGCGCGAAAGCGUGGGGAGCAAACA